GGAAUUAAAGGUGAACCACUUCCCUUAAUGGAGAGAAGAAAAGAGUUGGUAGCAUAGGUCAGACAAGGUAUUUGAUAAAGAUCACCAGGACAAGAGAUAUGAUAAAAUUAUGUGUAAUGACACAACUAUAAUGCAGUCUUAAAUGGUGAGCCCAUCCAUUUUUUUCCUAAAUUUUGUUUCCAAUUUUUUGCUUUCAAAUUUUUUUCCUAAUUUUUCUUCUGGAAUGUUUGUUUCCAAAUUUUUCUCCCAAUUUUUGUUCCAAUUUUCUGUUUUAUGGAUUUUUCUAUAAUUCAUAUAAAUUUUGUCUCUCUGCAAAUAUUUAUGCACAAAUUUCUGUAUUUGAACAAAUUUAUACAAAAGAUUGUUAUACAAAUUUGUGCGCACACAAAAUUUUUCCUUGAUAUGAGAAAGGGAAUGACGAGAGCACAUCGGUAUAAGUUUUUGCUGUAUAUAAAUUUGUAUAUAAACUUGCAUACAUAAAUUAUUUACAGUAAAAAUGCAAAAGAGAGUGGGGAUUAGUGUGGAUCACCCCAAAAAAAGGCUUGUCGGGAAUCGUUCGCCAGGGAUCUUGCUGGCGAGCGCACUGAUGACUAGCAACGGCCCAGCAUUUGCCGCAAUGGAGAAGAAGAAAAGUUUUCACAGCUACCGAUCAUUAGUCCUGGGUUAUAUUAGGCAAUGUAUAGUAUUUGAUUGAGAUUAUCAUGACUUUAGUUUGAAAGUUUGAAAAAAAACAAUAUUAGAGAAAACAUUUCGUUUAAUGGGGAAAGAAGAUUUCUGUAUACAAUGACACACCUACCUAUAUAAACAGACCUCUCCCGGAGAUUCCAUCGACCCUAUUAAAAGUGGGUUGCAAUAGAGUCAUUGUUCGUUUAUUUACCACAUCACAUAACUGUCUUGGAAGGUGAAGAAAUGUAGAGAAAAAUAAAAGAAAACAAAAGGAUUCCAAGCACCAUGAAAGCGCAUUGCUUUUGAAAAAUCAUCUUGUGUUUGGCUUAAAGUUUGUAGUAUCGGCUGCAUAUACAUAGGUUUAGGUAUGGGAGGCAACAGGGGAAGAUUGCGACAUUGCGUUAAGGUACGGGUUGGUAUCGAGCCGCUCUCAGCUUGUUUCGCGGCAGCUUGUUGCGUUACCGAGCUG
Molecule: long non-coding RNA, 1135 nt
Filed under: Setaria viridis
Lineage: Eukaryota; Viridiplantae; Streptophyta; Magnoliopsida; Poales; Poaceae
Description: long non-coding RNA (SVIR_LNC001281)
Source: RNAcentral